Macaca mulatta (Rhesus monkey) is the source of this 1526-nucleotide non-coding RNA. Lineage: Eukaryota; Metazoa; Chordata; Mammalia; Primates; Cercopithecidae. The record is from RefSeq and is a predicted model, not a curated record.
UUGCACUCCAGCCUGGGCAAUAGAGCGAGACUCUGUCUUAAAACAAAAAAUCCGGGGGCGGGGUUGGGGGGGCGGGCUGGUCUGAUAAAGUAUCACUUGAGCAGAGAGUGGAAUGAAAUAAAGGAUAGCAAGCCAUGUACAGAGUACAGCAGGCAUGGAGGAGGGAGCAAGGCCGGUGUCCCCGAGCAGCAGCAGGGAAGCCGGAGUGGCUGGACUUGUGUGGGUAUGGGGAAGAGGGGAGAGAGGUCACUCAUCUCUGAGAGGCCCGGGACUUUGUUUUGUCCCCUGCUGUACCCCAGCACUUAGAGUGGGAGCUGGCACAGAGAAGGCACUCAAUUGAUGUUUGCUGAGCAGACAAAUGCCUGGAGUAGACAUCAGAGCAGGGUUUGGUGGCAGGGUGGGUCAGGAGAGAGUUCACUCAACAGCCUGGUGAUAGGGGAGAACAAGAGGCCAGAGGGUAUCCAUCUAUGAUGGGGACCAGGGGUCCCUGCUGGGCAGCAGUGUGGGAGACACACGGAUCCUGGCCACACCUCAGCCCUCCCUCCCUUGCAGAGGUUCCGGUUCUCUGGUGAUCUGGACCGUCCCGACUGGGUCCUGGCUGAGGUCAACACACUGGCCAAGAUGGUUGAGUGCACAGGGUCUACUCUGGGUGGAGGAGGGGCGCUGGGCUGGGGAUUGUGGGUUUAGAUGAUGGUGAGGUUUCUCUGGGGUUAGGGCCUCAGUGCUCUAAGCCUGUGUUACCAUGCUUUGUGACCGUGAUCAGUGGCUGGCCUGCUCUGAGCCAGUCCCCAGGAAGGAGGCGUGAGGUUUACCAGCCUGGCUGAUUUAAGGAAUUCUCUUGCAGUCCUCUGUGAAGUUGUGGCUACUCUGCAGCCAGGUACUAAAGAGCUGCUGGGACGGGGGAUUGAUGUGACUACAACACCCAGCACCCCACUGUCCCAUGACCUUAUGACCCCCAGUGCCCUGAAACUCUGCACUAGGCCCAGGGAAAUGGGUAACCCAGUCUGUCAGCCUCUCUGGGCACCUCCCAUACUUCUUUCCAGCCUAUCUGUUCCUUAUCGCAGGACCCAGGCUGUGGAUGAGGGGCUGGUGAACAGGGGCAUGGCACCCUCUUAAGGUCACCUUUCCCCAUGGUACGAAAACAUUCUGAAGCUCAAGGCUGAUGCCAAGUUUGUGUGGCCAAGCACAGUGUCGAUGGCGGAUGCUUGUCCAGUGAAGUGCAGCAGCUGGGGCUGCCCAAAGAGCUACUCCGUUCUACCCCCAGAGCACGUGGCCAGCCUGUGCCACUCUUAUGAGGAGAAGCAAAGCCCCUUGCAGAAGCACUUGGGGCCUUCAACCUACGCAGUAAGUAUGAGCCCAGCCAGUGUCCGCGCUCAUUCUAGAAGGUGCACGCAGCAUGCAAAGUGCAUGGAGAGUCCAGGGAGACGACUUAACCACGGUCACAUGCCCAGCAGCUGCAGAGCUGGGACCUGGCCCUGGGUGUCCUGACUCCACGGACUCUGUGGUAUGUACGUACAGGAUCAGAC